This 301-nucleotide ribosomal RNA is filed under the name uncultured bacterium. Its description in RNAcentral is "partial 16S ribosomal RNA". It matches the Rfam family "Bacterial small subunit ribosomal RNA", at positions 509 to 809 of the family's 1533-position model. The record is from RNAcentral.
CAGCAGCCACGGUAAUACGUAGGUCCCGAGCGUUAUCCGGAUUUAUUGGGCGUAAAGCGAGCGCAGGCGGUUAGAUAAGUCUGAAGUUAAAGGCUGUGGCUUAACCAUAGUACGCUUUGGAAACUGUUUAACUUGAGUGCAGAAGGGGAGAGUGGAAUUCCAUGUGUAGCGGUGAAAUGCGUAGAUAUAUGGAGGAACACCGGUGGCGAAAGCGGCUCUCUGGUCUGUAACUGACGCUGAGGCUCGAAAGCGUGGGGAGCAAACAGGAUUAGAUACCCCGGUAGUCCCUGUCUUUAUACAA